Molecule: small nucleolar RNA, 92 nt
Filed under: Cephalotus follicularis
Lineage: Eukaryota; Viridiplantae; Streptophyta; Magnoliopsida; Oxalidales; Cephalotaceae
Source: RNAcentral
GAUUUGCUAUGAUGAUGAAAAUUCAGCUUUAAUGCCAGUUCUGCUUCAGAGAAUUCAUGAUUGAUAGAGCUGUUACUUAAUCUGAGCUUUUA